GACGAACGCUGGCGGCGUGCCUAAUACAUGCAAGUUGAGCGCUAAGGGUUGGUACUUGUCCCAACUGGGUGAGCAGCGAACGGGUGAGUAACGCGUGUGGAAUCUGCCUUUGAGCGGGGGACAACAUUGGGAAACGAAUGCUAAUACCGCAUAAAAACUUUAAACACAGGUUUUAAGUUUGAAAGAUGCAAUUGCAUCACUCAAAGAUGAUCCCGCGUUGUAUUAGCUAGUUGGUGAGGUAAAGGCUCACCAAGGCGAUGAUACAUAGCCGAACUGAGAGGGUGAUCCGCCACAUUGGGACUGAGAAACGGCACAAACUCCUACGGGAGGCAGCAGGAGGGAAACUUCGGCAAUGGGCGGAAGACUGACCGAGAAACGCCGCGUGAGUGAAGAAGGGUUUCGGAUCGGAAAACUCUGUUGGUAGAGAAGAACGUUGGUGCGAGUGGAAAGCUCAUCAAGUGACGGUAACUACUCAGAAAGGGACGGCUAACUACGUG
Molecule: ribosomal RNA, 497 nt
Filed under: uncultured bacterium
Lineage: Bacteria
Description: partial 16S ribosomal RNA
Rfam family: Bacterial small subunit ribosomal RNA
Source: RNAcentral